Molecule: transfer-messenger RNA, 129 nt
Filed under: Actinomycetota bacterium
Lineage: Bacteria; Bacillati; Actinomycetota
Description: partial transfer-messenger RNA
Rfam family: transfer-messenger RNA
About the family: Bacterial tmRNA, also known as 10Sa RNA or SsrA, is named for its dual tRNA and mRNA-like properties. Its role is to liberate the mRNA from a stalled ribosome. To accomplish this part of the tmRNA is used as a reading frame that ends in a translation stop signal.
Source: RNAcentral
AAUGGAGCUGGUACUCGGCAACCCCGCCGGCGAGGCGAGCCGAGGACGAGAUCAGAGCGCCGGCUACGCUCGUAGACGCCACCUUUCACGCGACCGCGGACGCGGGUUCAAUUCCCGCCGUCUCCACCU